This 105-nucleotide transfer RNA is filed under the name Entomortierella parvispora. RNAcentral describes it as "Mortierella parvispora tRNA". It matches the Rfam family "tRNA". Rfam says of the family: Transfer RNA (tRNA) molecules are approximately 80 nucleotides in length. The record is from Rfam by way of RNAcentral. Lineage: Eukaryota; Fungi; Mortierellomycota; Mortierellomycetes; Mortierellales; Mortierellaceae.
GGAGUGGUGGCCGAGUGGUCCAAGGCGCUGCAACCUCUGUUAUUACGACUAUUCACUGUGCAGUCUGCUUUAGUGCAGUCGUGGGUUCAAAUCCCUCCCUCUCCC